GGGGGCGUAAAGGUUUCGACGGGGAUCAAGAACUGAGGUAAGCGAGCAGAGCGGGCGGAAGCUCUUUAAUCGCCGCAACUUAAAAUUAAACGCUAACGAUAACGAAUUAGCUUACGCUGCCUAAUUAGGCGCGUCGUCCAUGCCGGAAGGGACCACGGGUCCGGCAGGGCGUCAAACAAGUGGUGAACGUAUCAUCGGAUCGGUUCAGCCGAUGAUAGGAACAAGAACCUACUGAAACGGUGAGCCUGCCCUUCGGCGCAUCGCAGAGGGAAUGGAAAAAGAAACGGCUAUGCUCGUAGAAAGCUUUGGGGACAGAUUUUCGGACAGGAGUUCGACUCUCCUCGCCUCCACCA
RNAcentral lists this transfer-messenger RNA (353 nucleotides) under Oscillospiraceae. Its description in RNAcentral is "UBA866 sp904384225 Standard tmRNA". It matches the Rfam family "transfer-messenger RNA". From Rfam's summary of the family: Bacterial tmRNA, also known as 10Sa RNA or SsrA, is named for its dual tRNA and mRNA-like properties. Its role is to liberate the mRNA from a stalled ribosome. The record is from RNAcentral. Lineage: Bacteria; Bacillati; Bacillota; Clostridia; Eubacteriales. RNAcentral also lists the same sequence under 1 other name.